AUUUCAGGGGGACAUUUUCUGAUUAAGGCCUUGUAUCUCUCCCAUGCCUCAUAGAGAGAUUCUCCAUCCAUCUGAGUGAAUAUUUGGACCUCUAUUUUGAGUCU
This is a small nucleolar RNA of Arachis duranensis, 104 nucleotides long. NCBI's taxonomy places the organism in Eukaryota, Viridiplantae, Streptophyta, Magnoliopsida, Fabales, Fabaceae. The record is from RefSeq and is a predicted model, not a curated record.